AGAGAGCAAGUUUAUUUUGGAAUGGAAGGAUUUUGAAAGAAGGAAGCAGGAUUGACCGGACGCUUGUAUUAUUAAAUCAGAAAGAUUUUCUUGUGUCGGUCAAGUUCACGUCAUGUUGAACGAAUUGAGUUGAAGAAAAAUAAGUUUGAGGAAGAUUGUUCUUCUGUAGACUUAAUUCUCACCACCACUUCGUGUGCUUCAUGUCUUUUAUUGUUCAUAUUUUUUUUUCUUUUAUUGCGAAAUUUUAAUGCUCUAUAAAUAUAUAUAUAUUUUUUUUGAUAGUGGAUUAAAAAAGUGGUAUAAUUGAAAUGAAUUCAAAAUUUUCAAUAAAAGUUUUCAAAGUGACAUCGUUA
This is a long non-coding RNA of Quercus lobata, 353 nucleotides long. RefSeq lists it as uncharacterized. The record is from RefSeq and is a predicted model, not a curated record. The transcript has 2 exons. Lineage: Eukaryota; Viridiplantae; Streptophyta; Magnoliopsida; Fagales; Fagaceae.